CAAAAACCCUAACCCUGACGAAACCUGACUCCUCUUUCUCCUCUAUUCGUUGCCUUCUCGCCGGAGCCCAAGCUAGCCAGAGUUCCUUUUCUGUUCGUCGAAUCUGUGUUUCCCCCCCGUGUUUUCUCCAUCCUCUGUUCGUGUUUUGCGCUGCUUUGCUGCUCGAACGCUGUCGCGGUGGUGCUGCUGGUGGUUGCGUGGUGAUGUUGUUAUUCCCGUUCGCUGCUGCAUGCGUCGCACCACUAGUGCGCCGCCUCACUGAACCUGCAUUGUUAAUCUGUCACCUCGCCCCCGCCUUGUGUAUCUUCCCUGCUCCAGAUGAGUAGAGGUUUGGUCUUCAGCUCGAGAUUGGAAGUGAAGCGAGAUUAUAAUGUCGUCGUAGAUUAUGGAUUGAGCUUGUAUCGAGUUAGUUAAUUUGAGAAUAGUUAUUUAUGUUUCGUUGUAUAUCAUUUUGGGAAUUUAGUCGAGUUAUAGGUGUAUUUAAGGAUAUUUUUCCGCUGCAAUUUUAUUAAUUAAGAUUUGGAUUCUAGUUUAUGGUUGUCCAGUGUGUGUUUUAUUAGCAGCUCGGAAGAGCGGGCUGUUACAAGAUGCCUGGUUGGCUACCUAGCGAUGGUGAAAGAUUCUUGGGAUAGUUUGAAAUCGAUUUGGGAUUAUUAGUAGUUAAAAAUUGAUGAUCGGAGAUUAGGAAUGUUGAAGCUUGAGUGUAUAAGUGUUUGCGCUUUUGCGUGUGCUAUAUGAUUUUGUUUAUGUAAAUGUGUAGUGUCUUAUGUUGUCUGUGAUGGUGUGUAUUUUGUAUGAUUUGAUUAAGUAAACGAAUUUCAGACGAGAUCUCUACAAAUGAGAUGUCUGGAAUUCUAUGCUGAAAAUUUUGCCCCUUUUAUUUUCUUUGCUCCUCGAUUCUAAUAUUGAGUUGAAGUGGAGAUACAUAAGCUGAUGGUAGAAUUGAGGUUUGAUGCCUGAUAUCUUAUGAGUUUGAGAUUUGGUUUUAUUUAAAUCAUUAUUUUCAAGUUUCUAGGACGAAACUUUAAAUAAGGGUGGUAGUAUGUAGUAGCCCUGUUUUUAAGAGCGAUUAUUUAAACAUUAAACAUAAUUAUUACGUUAAUUACGUUUCAAAAAUUCUUAUAUUAUUUGAGUUGUGGAAUGUGAUUUUUAUAUAUCGUCUUGUAAUGUAUUUAUUUAUUUAAUUAUAUGAGAUCAUUUAAUUAUUAUUAUUUUAUAUUAUGGAUUUUGUGCAAUUAGUUGAACGGUGUUUCACAAAUUAUAAAAUCAAAGUCGGUUCCCUUGUCUAUCCAUCUGAUCAUUUGGUAUUAUUGUCAGUCAAUGAAACCUCAUCACAUGCCUCUAGUCUGUCAUGGGUUCUGAAAUUUUAAAACCCAAAACCCUAAAGAAAACCCCAAACCCGUGAAAACCCAUCCUCUUUCCCCUGUUCUUCUCUCUUCGUUGAGACCUCGCCACACCUCCCCUUCAAUUCGCCGGCGAUUUGCCGAGCUUGCUAGAGUUUCCCCUACCCCCUUGAUGAUCGUUGGAGCCUCGUCGCCUCCCUGCUACAACUCUCUGUUUUCUCUCUUUAUCUUCUCCGUUCUCUAUAGUGCGAGACAGUUGUGGUGUUGCGGUGUUGUUGCUGUUGCCACCGCGCGUGCGCUGCAAGCUGUCGUGUCUCGACGCCACUAAUAUCUUUCCUCUGUUGCUUGUCGGUGCUCUGUCGUUGUGCCCUGAAGCUUCAAAGCUUCGUCCCCUAUUCUUCGUUGUUCGCUUUGUUGCUCCUGAUGUGGUCACCGUUGUUGUGCAUCAGGUGGUUAUCUCGCUUUCCCUCUCCUCUUGUACUGUUAUUCUUGUUUUAUUUAUAAUUGUUCGUUGUUGUUUUUGUUAUUUUGUCGUUGUAGUUGUGGUAGUUGCUAAGGAGUUGUUGUUGUAGUUGUGGUGGUUGUUGUGGAGUUGUGUGGUGGUCGUGGUGGAGUGUUGUGAUGUUAUUAUUGUUGUUGUUGCUCUGUUGUUUGUUGUUGUCAUUGCUGCGCUGUCGUUAUUGUUGUUGUUGUAUUGAAUUUUUAGAGUAGUUGUUAAUAGUUAUUGUUCUAUUGUUGCUGUUAUGAUUGUUGGUGUGGUUGAUGUUGUUGUUGUGGGUGUGGUUGUGCGUUGUUGAUGCUGUGAUGGUUGUUGUUGUGUCGUUUUGAUGGUGGUUUAUUAUUAAUGGGUUAUCGAAGUGUUGUAGUGUGUUGUGUUGCUGUUAGUAAUACUAACUAUUGUUAUUUUGAAAAGGAGGAAUGUUUUAUAAUUUCUUAUUUGUGUGAUUAAGUUUACUAGUUAAGUUAGCUUGACUUUGUUUAAGGAUAUAGAGUUAUAGUUACGAAGUGAGAAUUAAGAGAAUAUUAAGGUAGAUAAUUUUCGUAUUGGAACUGGUUAUGAUUUUGCUUCCUGGUAUAGAAUUAGGUAGUUCUUAUUUGGGAGAGAGUUUAAAUUAGUUCUUAUUUAGUAAGAAUCCUAUUCAUUAUUGUUAUUAUUGUGAGGUUAUUAUUGGAGGAUGAUUUUGGAGUGAAGUAUCAUUCGGGAUUAUGAAGUUGAUUGGAUUGUUGGAAUCAGGAUAGCAUUUCAGUUACGUAACUUUUAUGUUCAGUAAAAUUAUUUACUUAUGCCCAUGUGUGCGUGGAUUUUUUUAUUUUGUUUUGGAUAUAAUAUAAGUUCGUACUAUGGCCAUAGUUAUGAAUGUGAUGUUAUGAGUUGAUUCUGGAAAUAUUAUUCGAUGAAUACGAAUAUGCAAAUGUUUUGCUGGCUUAGUUUAUGAACUAAAAAUAGAAAGUGGGCAAGGUAUAGGUGGAGGAUGGUUAUUCUUUUGACAUGAUACGGUCGGCUACGCUCCAUAACAAACCUUGGGGGUAGUAUUGCUGGGCUCCAUAACAAACCUUGGAGGCAGUGUUUGUCCUUUAUCCAAAGCCCGGACUUGCCACUGAUUUGUUUAAGACAGUAAGCUAUGCCAGCAUUGUAUCGAAAAGAAGUGAUUUGAAAUAAAAUGUUUUUAAUGGGCUGAAGUAAAGGUUACGAGUUUUCCACUCAUUUUGGAAUUUUAUUUGUUUUGUAUUUCUUCUUGUAAAGGUUACGAGUUCCGUGAAUUUGCAGGUUUGGUGUUGUGAGCUCGGGAUUGGAAGUGAAGCAAGAUCAUGAUGUUGUCAUAGAUUAAGGAUAUGAAUUUGUAUCUAGUUAGUUGAUUGGAGAAUACUUAUUAAUAUUUUUGUUGUAUAUCAUUGUGGGAAUUUAGUUCAAUUAUUUGUGUAUUCACUAGAGGAAAAAAAGGAAGGGCUGCGCUGGAAGGGCUGUGUUUCCUUUAAAACGCAGCCCUUCUUUCAUGAAGGGCUUCAGUUUUAAAGAAAACUGCAGUCCUUUUCCAGUAAGGCUACAGUAAACUAGAAAACGCAACCCUUUUUACUUUAAGAAGGGUUGCGUUUUCUAGUAACUGCAGUCCUUUUUAGUGAAGGGCUGCGGUUUACUAGAAAACGCAUCCCUUUUUACUGUAAGAAGGGCUGCGGUUUUUGGGCCUACCGCAGCCUUGAAAGUGAAGGGCUGCGCUUUUCUAAAAACCGCAGCCCUUCUUUUACGAAGGGCUGCAUUUUUUGGAUAAGCGCAACCCUUCAUUAUCAUUUUUUUUAUUCUAAUGAGUUGCGCGCAUGUACGGUAUCCACGCACAUUUCUAUUUCCCUCCCUUAGUCAAAUUUUCGAGCGAGAAAUCCCCACCAGCACCUUCAUUGCGCGAACCACCAGUGCGCCACCACCACGCAGCUGCACCAUCUUGCGCACCACCUUCUUCUCUCUCCUCCACUACUGCAUUUAUUGUGGAGCAUCACUUCUCCUACUCUCUUUCGCAGGACAUGGCGGAGGUGCAUAUAGAUACGAGUGCGGAAUACACUAUCGAGGUUGAGUCUUUCGAUGUGAGAAAGGAACGGGGUAAAUUGGUUCGACCUUGCCGUGAAGAAAUAAAUGCACAAAUUCCUAGGAAGUCAUUGGCGACGAAAAAGAGAAAAGGAAGGGGACCUACAAAGUCACUAGGGAAACACACCCUAAUGACUUUGGAGUGCGAUCAUUUGGGGCAACCUUGUGGAAAAUGGCGUCCAAAGGAUGCCAUGCAAGUUGGCAUUUGCAUGCAUAAACUCUCCAUUCUCCACUCAUGGAAAGAGGUACCCGAGGGGUUGAAGAAGUGUAUAUGCACUAGUGAAAAAAUGAAGAAGGGCUGCGCUGAAAAAGGCCUGUAGGGCUGCGCUUUUUGACAGCAGCCCUUUCAGUAGCAGCCCUUCACUUUUUAAGUAGGGC
Molecule: long non-coding RNA, 4296 nt
Organism: Beta vulgaris subsp. vulgaris (sugar beet)
Lineage: Eukaryota; Viridiplantae; Streptophyta; Magnoliopsida; Caryophyllales; Amaranthaceae
Exons: 3
Source: RefSeq, a predicted model, not a curated record